GGGGAUGUAGCUCAGUGGCAAAGCACCUGCCUGGCAAGCGUGAGCCCCUGGGUUCAAUUCCCAAUACCA
RNAcentral lists this transfer RNA (69 nucleotides) under Heterocephalus glaber (naked mole-rat). It matches the Rfam family "tRNA". Rfam says of the family: Transfer RNA (tRNA) molecules are approximately 80 nucleotides in length. Their secondary structure includes four short double-helical elements and three loops (D, anti-codon, and T loops). The record is from Rfam by way of RNAcentral. Lineage: Eukaryota; Metazoa; Chordata; Mammalia; Rodentia; Bathyergidae.